RNAcentral lists this transfer RNA (66 nucleotides) under Chimarra sadayu. RNAcentral's name for it is "tRNA-Thr". The record is from RNAcentral. Lineage: Eukaryota; Metazoa; Arthropoda; Insecta; Trichoptera; Philopotamidae.
GUUUUAAUAAUUUAAUAUAAAAAAUAUUGAUUUUGUAAAUCAAAAAUGAAUAAAUUUCUUAAAAUU